This 216-nucleotide ribosomal RNA is filed under the name uncultured bacterium. Its description in RNAcentral is "partial 16S ribosomal RNA". It matches the Rfam family "Bacterial small subunit ribosomal RNA", at positions 308 to 525 of the family's 1533-position model. The record is from RNAcentral.
GCUCCCUCCGCGCCAUCAGACUCCUACCGGAGGCGAGCAGUGGGAAGUAUUAGUCACAACUAGGGCGGCAAGCCUCGAUGCAGUCAUGCCGCGUGUGUGAGAAGCUCGGUGUAAGCACUUCAGCGAGGAGGAAGGCGUUGCAGUUAAUAGCUGCAACGAUUGACGUUACUCGCAGAAGAAGCACCGGCUAACUCCGUGCCAGCAGCCGCGGAAUUC